Lycium barbarum (goji berry) is the source of this 107-nucleotide small nucleolar RNA. Lineage: Eukaryota; Viridiplantae; Streptophyta; Magnoliopsida; Solanales; Solanaceae. The record is from RefSeq and is a predicted model, not a curated record.
AAACCAUGAUUUGGAGACCUCAUCAAGUACAGCUUGAACCUCUCCUGAGCUUCAUAUAGUUGUUUCCCCGGAAGUUGCAUAAACUCAAAAAAUUUGUCUCUGAGUUU